AUUAUACUGAUCGACAUGAAAUAAAAUUAACUUUAAGAACUCCUCCAUUAGCUUCUUGGCUGCAUUGACAACUUCAGCGCAUGGGGUCGUUUUAUGCUCGACGACUUGCAAGUUAUGCGCUAACCAAAUUUUUCACAAAGUGAUUGCAGCAAGGCUCCGUCGCCGUUUUCCUUAGUUUCCACCACAUCGAGCUAUUAUCUCCCUCCACCAUUUCCAUAACACUGUAGUAUUUUUAGGACACUGAAGAUUCACAUUGUAAAAUAUGGACUGCAGCUUGAGCUUAACAGGGAGUCCUCUGUGAAUUGCUUUCCACAAGAAUACCUUCAUCUUUGUUGGGGAAUGUAAGGACCAGAUCGAUUGCCACACAUCGUUUUGCUUGAAGACCUUCGGAAAGAACUCUAUUAGCGAAUGAAAAAAUUAGAAUGCAAUUCGGUAAACUGAGUUCACUUUGUAGAUCCAGGUAUUUAUCUUGGAUUCCAACGUGUGGAACCUGAAGGAGUUGUGAAAGCUUAGUACGGAUCUGCUGAGGAGUAUUUUGACUGAAAAAGACUGAAGACUUGUUCAGAAGAAGAAGCAGCAGCAGAAGAUGAGGAGAAAAAAAAGAAAGAGUUCUGAAUUAUGCAUAAGGUGUACUUCAACGAAUUUUGAGUGCAUUUCUUAAAUUCUUUGGGUGUAUUUUUUGUAAUCCUUUGGGUGUAUUUCUAUAAUUCUUUGGGUGUAUUGAUUUCAAGAAGAAAUAUACUGUCUCUCCCUAUAUUGGGUGUAUUUCUUAAAUCCUUUGGGUGUAUUUCUGUAAUCCUUUGGAUAUAUUUCUAUAAUCGUUUAGUUUAUUUCUGUAACUGUUUGGGUGUAUUUCUGUAAUUCUUUGGAUGUAUUUCUAUAAUCGUUUGGGUGUAUUUUUGUAAUCGUUUGGGUGUAUUUCUGAAGUGCCAUCAUCUUCAAAACAAUUUCAAAACUUGAUUUCAGAAACCAUGAAAAUCGAAAAAAACAGAAGGAGAUCGAAGGCAAAGAGAGAACGCUUUUCUUCUUCUGUAACGCAUGUGUUAGGCCCAACUUCUUCUUCUUCUGUAACACGCGUGUUAGGCUCAACUUGUAAGACUUGUAAACAAAAAUGACUUGUAUGUGUAGCACUCCUCUAAAAUUAUUUCAA
Long non-coding RNA from Arachis stenosperma, 1150 nucleotides. RefSeq lists it as uncharacterized. The transcript is spliced from 4 exons. Lineage: Eukaryota; Viridiplantae; Streptophyta; Magnoliopsida; Fabales; Fabaceae. The record is from RefSeq and is a predicted model, not a curated record.